Molecule: ribosomal RNA, 650 nt
Filed under: Phaeobacter sp. OFEM14
Lineage: Bacteria; Pseudomonadati; Pseudomonadota; Alphaproteobacteria; Rhodobacterales; Roseobacteraceae
Description: bacterial SSU rRNA
Rfam family: Bacterial small subunit ribosomal RNA
Source: RNAcentral
CCCGUAGGAGUGAGCGGCGGACGGGUUAGUAACGCGUGGGAACAUACCUUUCGGUAAGGAAUAGCCACUGGAAACGGUGAGUAAUACCUUAUACGCCCUUCGGGGGAAAGAUUUAUCGCCGAGAGAUUGGCCCGCGUUAGAUUAGAUAGUUGGUGGGGUAACGGCCUACCAAGUCUACGAUCUAUAGCUGGUUUUAGAGGAUGAUCAGCAACACUGGGACUGAGACACGGCCCAGACUCCUACGGGAGGCAGCAGUGGGGAAUCUUGGACAAUGGGCGCAAGCCUGAUCCAGCCAUGCCGCGUGAGUGAUGAAGGCCUUAGGGUCGUAAAGCUCUUUCGCCAGAGAUGAUAAUGACAGUAUCUGGUAAAGAAACCCCGGCUAACUCCGUGCCAGCAGCCGCGGUAAUACGGAGGGGGUUAGCGUUGUUCGGAAUUACUGGGCGUAAAGCGUACGUAGGCGGACCAUUAAGUUGGGGGUGAAAUCCCGGGGCUCAACCCCGGAACUGCCUCCAAAACUGCUGGUCUUGAGUUCGAGAGAGGUGAGUGGAAUUCCGAGUGUAGAGGUGAAAUUCGUAGAUAUUCGGAGGAACACCAGUGGCGAAGGCGGCUCACUGGCUCGAUACUGACGCUGAGGUACGAAAGUGUGGGGA